AUUAAACGCUGGCGGCAUGCCUUACACAUGCAAGUCGAACGGCAGCACGGGGGCAACCCUGGUGGCGAGUGGCGGACGGGUGAGUAAUGCAUCGGAACGUGCCCUGAAGUGGGGGGAUAACGCAGCGAAAGCUACGCUAAUACCGCAUAUUCUGUGAGCAGGAAAGCAGGGGAUCGCAAGACCUUGCGCUUUGGGAGCGGCCGAUGUCGGAUUAGCUAGUUGGUGGGGUAAAGGCCUACCAAGGCGACGAUCCGUAGCGGGUCUGAGAGGAUGAUCCGCCACACUGGGACUGAGACACGGCCCAGACUCCUACGGGAGGCAGCAGUGGGGGAAUUUUGGACAAUGGGCGGAAGCCUGAUCCAGCCAUGCCGCGUGAGUGAAGAAGGCCUCGGUUGGUUAAA
RNAcentral lists this ribosomal RNA (401 nucleotides) under uncultured bacterium. RNAcentral's name for it is "bacterial SSU rRNA". It matches the Rfam family "Bacterial small subunit ribosomal RNA", at positions 29 to 430 of the family's 1533-position model. The record is from RNAcentral.